This 71-nucleotide transfer RNA is filed under the name Phrynosoma platyrhinos (Desert horned lizard). Its description in RNAcentral is "tRNA-OTHER". The record is from RNAcentral. Lineage: Eukaryota; Metazoa; Chordata; Lepidosauria; Squamata; Phrynosomatidae.
GCUAGCAUGGCGUAGUGGUUUAGGUGUUGGACUACGACCCUGGAGACCAGGGUUCAAAUCCCUGUUCAGCC